UACAGAGGGCUCAAGCGUUGUUCGGAUUCAUUGGGCGUAAAGGAUACGUAGGUGGCGCCGUAAGUCGGGUGUGAAAUUUCGGAGCUUAACUCCGAAACUGCAUUCGAUACUGCGGUGCUUGAGGACUGGAGAGGAGACUGGAAUUCAUGGUGUAGCAGUGAAAUGCGUAGAGAUCAUGAGGAAGACCAGUGGCGAAGGCGGGUCUCUGGACAGUUCCUGACACUGAGGCACGAAGGCCAGGGGAGCAAACGGG
This 253-nucleotide ribosomal RNA is filed under the name uncultured bacterium. RNAcentral's name for it is "partial 16S ribosomal RNA". It matches the Rfam family "Bacterial small subunit ribosomal RNA", at positions 524 to 776 of the family's 1533-position model. The record is from RNAcentral.